Molecule: small nuclear RNA, 100 nt
Filed under: Neotoma lepida (desert woodrat)
Lineage: Eukaryota; Metazoa; Chordata; Mammalia; Rodentia; Cricetidae
Source: RNAcentral
AUAAAAUAAAUUUGAAAUAAAUAAAAUUGGAACNGUACAGUGAUUAGCACAGCUCCUGUGAAAAGAUAACAUGCAAGUUCAAGACUCAUUCCAUCUUUUU